This 158-nucleotide ribosomal RNA is filed under the name Trichoderma atroviride. RNAcentral describes it as "5.8S ribosomal RNA". The stretch from base 40 to 158 matches the Rfam family "5.8S ribosomal RNA", at positions 1 to 119 of the family's 154-position model. From Rfam's summary of the family: 5.8S ribosomal RNA (5.8S rRNA) is a component of the large subunit of the eukaryotic ribosome. It is transcribed by RNA polymerase I as part of the 45S precursor that also contains 18S and 28S rRNA. Functionally, it is thought that 5.8S rRNA may be involved in ribosome translocation. The record is from RNAcentral. Lineage: Eukaryota; Fungi; Ascomycota; Sordariomycetes; Hypocreales; Hypocreaceae.
AUUUCUUACAGCUCUGAGCAAAAAUUCAAAAUGAAUCAAAACUUUCAACAACGGAUCUCUUGGUUCUGGCAUCGAUGAAGAACGCAGCGAAAUGCGAUAAGUAAUGUGAAUUGCAGAAUUCAGUGAAUCAUCGAAUCUUUGAACGCACAUUGCGCCCG